AGCACCACCAGCUACCACAUGGAGUAUAUAUCUUUACUCUCCAUGAAUGGUCGUUUUCUGGUUCCAGAUUC
Molecule: non-coding RNA, 71 nt
Organism: Angomonas deanei
Lineage: Eukaryota; Euglenozoa; Kinetoplastea; Trypanosomatida; Trypanosomatidae
Source: Rfam